Molecule: ribosomal RNA, 325 nt
Filed under: uncultured eukaryote
Lineage: Eukaryota
Description: partial 18S ribosomal RNA
Rfam family: Eukaryotic small subunit ribosomal RNA
Source: RNAcentral
CCCUUAGAUGUUCUGGGCCGCACGCGCGCUACACUGAUGCAUUCAACGAGCCUAUCCUUGACCGACAGGUCCGGGUAAUCUUUGAAUCUGCAUCGUGACGGGGAUAGAUUAUUGCAAUUAUUAAUCUUCAACGAGGAAUGCCUAGUAGGCGCAAGUCAUCAGCUUGCGUCGAUUACGUCCCUGCCCUUUGUACACACCGCCCGUCGCUCCUACCGAUAGGGUGUGCUGGUGAAAUGUUCGGAUCGGCCGUUUGUCGCGGUUUCCGCGUCAUGUGGCUGAGAAGUUCAUUAAACCCUCCCACCUAGAGGAAGGAGAAGUCGUAACA